UGGGAAGCCAGUUGCAGACAGUGGCUUCCUAUCACUUCAGAUCAGCUAGAUGUGGACUAGCUCCAGCAGGAAGAUGUGUAAUCACAUUAGCACAGUGCUGUGCCUGAAGGAAUAAUCCCUGCUGGAUUUAAGUACCUGCUCUGUCUGGAGAUAUUUGUCUCUUUUGCCUUGCAGUUCAGCUCCCCCAACAUCUCUGGGUUGGAAAGCAUGUGGGAGAGAAGAGAAUGAGAAUGGUCAUGACUGACUGAAGAGUCCUUUUUCCCUUAUCAGUGUGGAGCCUAGGUUUAUUGCUCCAUGCAUUUUUAACGCAAUAGACUGACUCCAAUGCACAGGCAGCUUUGAACUUCGAAGCAAGAGCUUCCUCACCUUUUCUACCCCAUAAAUCUCAGGAAUGAAACCUGUACAGAUAUUUUUGCUGUUGGCUAAAGUUUUGGUAUGAUCUCCAAACAGAAACAGCUCAUUAAGGCGUGCAUACUGCUCUGUCUACUGAAACUGCCUUCCAACCCAACAUACAAGCAUGUAUGUGUGAGUAAUAACACAGAGAACAACUCCCAGAGAGCCAAGAUACUUUCUGCUGAACAGGCAGACAGAAGAGAAAGAACAGAUGUAAUUAUCAAUCAUACACUGUCAUUAG
Molecule: long non-coding RNA, 634 nt
Organism: Gallus gallus (chicken)
Lineage: Eukaryota; Metazoa; Chordata; Aves; Galliformes; Phasianidae
Source: Ensembl